GUUCUUUAUUCUCAAUUUUUGCUCUACUUUGGCUUGGAUAGUAUGAUUUGUUAUGUGAACUCUUUUCCAAAUUUUCAAUAAAUCUUUUUAUUCUCAACGGAGGUACUGUUAGUGAUAAAAAUCUGCUUACUACCACUGAGGGUAACUCAUACAUACGGUGUUGUUCAGUAUGAACUCAAUUUGGGUCUUUUUGAAUCUGGCCAUGUACGAAGCUUCUUCCGUGCAGUGACUUGUGAUAAAAAUAACAAUCAAUCCUGCUCAACAAAAAAGGAUGCUGGGAUGAAUCUUCGACGACGUGAAAUAUAUAAACAAUAGGUAGGUAGUUAAUGGACUGCUUGAAAAUUGAUGCUUCCUUCAGAUAGUUCAACAAGAGCUUGUUCAAGUGAUACCAAUCAGAUACUGAUGAAAAAUUUGGAUCCAGCCUGCACUAUAAGCUGUUCACCAGCUCGGCAUCUACAACCAACAACUGGGGUAAAAAAAAAUAAAUUUCUUCCUUGGCUAUAUUUUGUUGAAGAAGAAUUUACCCUUCAUCACUAUUUAUUAGGUUUUGAUCCAAAUGAACAGAAAUGGAUUUCUGGAUGUUAGAGAGAUCUAAAGGCAGUGAAGAUUUUUGUCGACAUCUCUUAUGUCUUUUGUUUGUUGUAGUUAUACUCCUGAUGAAGAGAUCAUAUUGACAACUGACGCCUCCAACAUGCAAAAUUGAAUUUUCUCUUUUGAUCUAAAAAAGAAGAGUUGGGAGAGAAAUUUGAUAUCAUUGGUGUUUAUAGUCCUGUAGAUAACCUCUUAUCAUGUAUUUAUUGUUAGUACUGAAAUCUAUUUAAGCUUGAAUUUGUUCGUGUA
Capsicum annuum is the source of this 840-nucleotide long non-coding RNA. RefSeq lists it as uncharacterized. The record is from RefSeq and is a predicted model, not a curated record. The transcript is spliced from 3 exons. Lineage: Eukaryota; Viridiplantae; Streptophyta; Magnoliopsida; Solanales; Solanaceae.